GGAUUAACGCUGGCGGCAUGCCUAAUACAUGCAAAUCGAACGAGGUUAGUUUACUAACCUAGUGGUGAACGGGUGAGUAACAAGUAUCCAAUCUGCCCUUAAGAUGGGAAUAACUGACCGAAAGGUUAGCUAAUGCCCAAUAAUAACAUUCUUAUCGCAUGAGAAAAUGUAGAAAGACGCCUUUAAAGCGUCGCUUUUGGAUGAGGRUGCUCCGUAUCAGAUAGUUGGUAGGGUAAAAGCCUACCAAGUCUAUGACGCGUAGCUGUACUGAGAGGUAGAACAGCCACAAUGGGACUGAGACACGGCCCAUACUCCUACGGGAGGCAGCAGUAGGGAAUUUUUCACAAUGGGCGCAAGCCUUAUGAAGCAAUGCCGCGUGAACGACGAAGGUCUUAUAGAUUGUAAAGUUCUUUUAUUUGGGAAGAAACGUUAUGAUAGGAAAUGAUUAUAACUUGACUGUACCUUUUGAAUAAGUAUCGGCUAACUAUGUGCCAGCAGCCGCGGUAAUACAUAGGAUGCAAGCGUUAUCCGGAUUUACUGGGCGUAAAACGAGCGCAGGCGGAUCUGCAAGUUUGGUAUUAAAUCUAUGUGCUCAACGCAUAGCUGUAUCAAAAACUGCAAAUCUAGAGUGUAGUAGAGAGUUGGGGAACUCCAUGUGGAGCGGUAAAAUGCGUAGAUAUAUGGAAGAACACCGGCGGCGAAGGCGCCAACUUAGACUAACACUGACGCUUAGGCUCGAAAGUGUGGGGAUCAAAUAGGAUUAGAUACCCUAGUAGUCCACACUGUAAACGAUCAUCAUUAAAUGUCGGCACGAACGUGUCGGUGUUGAAGCUAACGCAUUAAAUGAUGUGCCUGGGUAGUACAUUCGCAAGAAUGAAACUCAAACGGAAUUGACGGGGACCCGCACAAGUGGUGGAGCAUGUUGCUUAAUUUGACAAUACACGUAAAACCUUACCUAGGUUUGACAUCGAUUGCAAAGCUAUAGAAAUAUAGUAGAGGUUAACAAUCUGACAGGUGGUGCAUGGUUGUCGUCAGCUCGUGUCGUGAGAUGUUGGGUUAAGUCCCGCAACGAGCGCAACCCCUUUCGUUAGUUAUUUUUUAACGAUACUGCUACUGCAAAGUAGAGGAAGGUGGGGAUGACGUCAAAUCAUCAUGCCCCUUAUAUCUAGGGCUGCAAACGUGCUACAAUGGUUGAGACAAACUGCUGCAAAACUGUAAAGUCAAGCAAAUCAGACAAAAUCAAUCUCAGUUCGGAUAGAGGGCUGCAAUUCGCCCUCUUGAAGUUGGAAUCACUAGUAAUCGCGAAUCAGACAUGUCGCGGUGAAUACGUUCUCGGGUCUUGUACACACCGCCCGUCAAACUAUGGGAGCUGAUAAUAUCUGAAACCGUACUGUUAACCGCAAGGAGGCAUACGUCUAGGGUAGGAUUGGUGACUGGAGUUAAGUCGUAACAAGGUAUCCCUACGAGAACGUGGGGAUGGAUCACCUCCUUUCU
Molecule: ribosomal RNA, 1494 nt
Filed under: Ureaplasma miroungigenitalium
Lineage: Bacteria; Bacillati; Mycoplasmatota; Mycoplasmoidales; Mycoplasmoidaceae
Description: Ureaplasma sp. ES2783-GEN 16S ribosomal RNA
Rfam family: Bacterial small subunit ribosomal RNA
Source: RNAcentral